Long non-coding RNA from Oncorhynchus keta (chum salmon), 356 nucleotides. RefSeq lists it as uncharacterized. NCBI's taxonomy places the organism in Eukaryota, Metazoa, Chordata, Actinopteri, Salmoniformes, Salmonidae. The transcript has 3 exons. The record is from RefSeq and is a predicted model, not a curated record.
UUGGUAAUGGGUAGGUUGUUACCAGUGUACUGAUAUCUGACCUCAUAGAGUUUGGUAAUGGGUAGGUUGUUACCAGUGUACUGAUAUCUGACCUCAUAGAGUUUGGUAAUGGGUAGGUUGUUACCAAUGUACUGAUAUCUGACCUCAUAGAGUUUGGUAAUGGGUAGGUUGUUACCAGUGUACUGAUAUCUGACCUCAUAGAGUUUGGUAAUGGGUAGGUUGUUACCAGUGUACUGAUAUCUGACCUCAUAGAGUUUGGUAAUGGGUAGGUUGUUACCAGUGUACUGAUAUCUGACCUCAUAGAGUUUGGUAAUGGGUAGGUUGUUACCAAUGUACUGAUAUCUGACCUCAUAGAG